RNAcentral lists this ribosomal RNA (484 nucleotides) under uncultured bacterium. RNAcentral's name for it is "partial 16S ribosomal RNA". It matches the Rfam family "Bacterial small subunit ribosomal RNA", at positions 30 to 507 of the family's 1533-position model. The record is from RNAcentral.
AUUGAACGCUGGCGGCAGGCCUAACACAUGCCAGUCGAGCGGAUGAAGGGAGCUUGCUCCUGGAUUCAGCGGCGGACGGGUGAGUAAUGCCUAGGAAUCUGCCUGGUAGUGGGGGAUAACGUCCGGAAACGGGCGCUAAUACCGCAUACGUCCUGAGGGAGAAAGUGGGGGAUCUUCGGACCUCACGCUAUCAGAUGAGCCUAGGUCGGAUUAGCUAGUUGGUGGGGUAAAGGCCUACCAAGGCGACGAUCCGUAACUGGUCUGAGAGGAUGAUCAGUCACACUGGAACUGAGACACGGUCCAGACGCCUACGGGAGGCAGCAGGGGGGAAUAGUGGACAAUGGGCGAAAGCCUGAGCCAGCCAUGCCGCGUGUGUGAAGAAGGUCUUCGGAUUGUAAAGCACUUUAAGUUGGGAGGAAGGGCAGUAAGUUAAUACCUUGCUGUUUGGACGUUACCAACAGAAUGAGCACCGGCUAACUUCGUG